CUGAAUGUGAAACUUCAGCUUUUUGCUUUUAUUGCAAAGCAACCAGCUUUCCACCAGCUUCGGUCAGUUGAGCAACUUGGAUAUAUUACUGUGCUCAUGCCCAGAAAUGAUUCUGGCGUUCGAGGUGUACAGUUUGUUAUCCAAUCUACAGUGAAGGGCCCUCGACGUGUUGAUUUGAGAGUCGAGGCAUUUCUCAAGAUGUUUGAAACUAAACUUUAUGAGAUGACAAAUGAAGAAUUCAAGAAUAAUGUUAAUGCUUUGAUUGAUAUGAAGCUCGAGAAGCACAAGAAUUUGAGGGAAGAAUCUGGAUUUUACUGGCGAGAGAUAUAUGAUGGAACCCUAAAGUUUGAUCGGAAAGACUCUGAGGUAUGAGUAUCUAUCUGAUCUUUCUGCUGAUGUUUAAUAUUUGCUCUCCAUAUUUAUGGUUGGAGAAUAUCACCAAUGUAUUAUAUCAUGGAAAGGGAGCAAAGGGGUGAGGGAAAAAAUAUGUGUGUGUAAGUUUUCUUUACACUCAUUGAAUUCUAAUGUGAAAACAAAGCAAGCUUCUCUGUUGAGUUUUAGAUGAUAAAAGAGUAAGCUCUUUAGUCCAUAGUUGAUGAACAUCCUUAAAACAGGUGGCUGCAUUAAGGCAACUGGAGCAGCGAGAGUUUGUAGGGUUUUUCAAUGAACACAUAAAAGUCGGUGCACCUCAGAAGAGGACAUUAAGUGUUCGUGUUUAUGGGUCCCCACAUUCAUCAGAGUAUGCAACAGAUAACAGUGAAUCAGUUGCAUCCAACUCUGUUGCAAUAGAUGAUAUUUUCAGCUUCAGAAGAUCACAACCUCUUUAUGGUUCCUUCAAAGGAGGCUUGGGUCAUAUGAAGUUGUAGGGUAGGAACUCAUUUAAGAUUGUUGAUAAAAAGGAUCAGAAAUGGAACUUUUCCCAUCUCCUGGUGGAUAAAACUUGGUACAAGCUUUGCUGUCUGGAAGUAAAACAAAGCCAAGUCUCAGAAUUUUCGAAAACUUUCAAGGGCUGGAGUAGCUUUUCUUGCAUGGCAUUGGAGAUGCGAGUUCUUUUUCUGAUUCCUCUUUCGGGUUCCAAUCUCAAAAUCAUAUUGUAACUUAUCAUUGUAUCAGUUGACAAAAUAAAUUAUGGCUUAUUUGGUGUUUGUUUGCUUUAUUCUCUGUUUGGCUGUAUUAAUCUGAGACUACUACAAACUACCAUCCCUUCCUUCCAAUGUUUGCUCCCACUACAUAUAUCACCAAAAUUUUAGAUUAUUCGAAGAGAUGGAAGGGGCGAUGGGGAAGUGGAGGCAGAAUGCGGCUUCGGGGGAUUUUAGGUCUUUGAUAAAGAUUUUACAGGUUUCCUUUGUUGUUGGUACAUCAGAAAGUUGGCAGUGCAGAGGAUGGUGGUGGUGCUCGUCAUCUCCGACGGUUAGCUAUGGACGUGGUGGCCAUGGUAGAUAAUAGAGUGAACGUGGAUUGCAAAGACGGAAAACGAUCAGGGUUAGGUCACUAGGGGCUGUAGAGGAGGCAUGGGCUAAUGCCAUGGUGAAAUGUAGAGCACUAAUCAAAGGGAGCAUGUGGGUAACAAGCAUUAUAUUUUUGAAGCUCAAUCUGAUAUGUGGCCUUUUGAAAGCCUUGAUUUGAUAAUGGUUGAUUGUGAUUUACCUCACUAAAAUUAUUGCCAAAAGGUUAAAAAAAUAAAUAAAAAAAGAAAACCUGAAGGUGAAAAAAAAAAUCAACAAUUUGAUUUUAAAAUAAAUUAAGAAAUUUCAAUGCAAAGAAAAGAUUAAUAAAACCAUAAAAUCAAUCAUUUGUUUUAAAAUUAAUUAAAAAUUUAAUAGAUAUAAAAG
RNAcentral lists this unclassified non-coding RNA (1832 nucleotides) under Hevea brasiliensis (rubber tree). Lineage: Eukaryota; Viridiplantae; Streptophyta; Magnoliopsida; Malpighiales; Euphorbiaceae. The record is from RNAcentral.